This 490-nucleotide ribosomal RNA is filed under the name uncultured bacterium. RNAcentral's name for it is "partial 16S ribosomal RNA". It matches the Rfam family "Bacterial small subunit ribosomal RNA", at positions 30 to 507 of the family's 1533-position model. The record is from RNAcentral.
AUUGAACGCUGGCGGCAGGCCUAACACAUGCAAGUCGAACGGUAACAGGAAGAAGCUUGCUUCUUUGCUGACGAGUGGCGGACGGGUGAGUAAUGUCUGGGAAACUGCCUGAUGGAGGGGGAUAACUACUGGAAACGGUAGCUAAUACCGCAUAAUGUCGCAAGACCAAAGAGGGGGACCUUCGGGCCUCUUGCCAUCGGAUGUGCCCAGAUGGGAUCAGCUAGUAGGUGGGGUAACGGCUCACCUAGGCGACGCUCCCUAGCUGGUCUGAGAGGAUGACCAGCCACACUGGAACUGAGACACGGUCCAGACUCCUACGGGAGGCAGCAGUGGGGAAUAUUGCACAAUGGGGGCAUGCCUGAUGCAGCUAUGCCGCGUGUAUGAAGAAGGCCUUCGGGUUGUAAAGUACUUUCAGCGGGGAGGAAGGGAGUAAAGUUAAUACCUUUGCUCAUUGACGUUACCCGCAGAAGAAGCACCGGCUAACUCCGUG